Molecule: ribosomal RNA, 252 nt
Filed under: uncultured bacterium
Lineage: Bacteria
Description: partial 16S ribosomal RNA
Rfam family: Bacterial small subunit ribosomal RNA
Source: RNAcentral
UACAGAGACGGCAAGCGUUGUUCGGAUUCAUUGGGCGUAAAGGGUGCGCAGGCGGUCCGUUAAGUCGGGUGUGAAAUCUCACAGCCUAACUGUGAUAGGUCAUUCGAAACUAGCGGGCUCGAGGACUGGAGAGGAGACUGGAAUAGUCGGUGUAGCGGUGAAAUGCGCAGAUAUCAGGAGGAACACCGAUGGCGAAGGCAGGUCUCUGGGCCACUACUGACGCUGAGAAGCGAAAGCGUGGGAGCGAACGGG